RNAcentral lists this ribosomal RNA (254 nucleotides) under uncultured bacterium. RNAcentral describes it as "partial 16S ribosomal RNA". It matches the Rfam family "Bacterial small subunit ribosomal RNA", at positions 524 to 776 of the family's 1533-position model. The record is from RNAcentral.
UACGGGGGGAGCAAGCGUUGUUCGGAUUUACUGGGCGUAAAGAGCUCGUAGGCGGUGUGUCACGUCGGCCGUGAAAACCUGCAGCUUAACUGUGGGCGUGCGGUCGAUACGGGCAUCACUGGAGUUCGGCAGGGGAGACUGGAAUUCCUGGUGUAGCGGUGAAAUGCGCAGAUAUCAGGAGGAACACCGGUGGCGAAGGCGGGUCUCUGGGCCGAUACUGACGCUGAGGAGCGAAAGCGUGGGGAGCAAACAGG